Long non-coding RNA from Homo sapiens (human), 645 nucleotides. RefSeq annotates it as SPIN4 antisense RNA 1. The transcript is spliced from 3 exons. Lineage: Eukaryota; Metazoa; Chordata; Mammalia; Primates; Hominidae. The record is from RefSeq and is marked validated.
CGUUUGCAGCACAGCCACCCCACCUUCAGCUGAUCAUCCCAGAUCCAGCAGCAGGUUCUGUAGUUCUCUGAGGUGGAGUUCCCAGAGUCAACUGACAGCUCCUCUGCCAUGACACCUUGCCCUUGCUGCCCUUGGGCUGGGGACAUAACGAAGAGUCUGAUUGUUUUGGUUGCACCAUCAGUACACGGCUCUAAGGAGAGGAGAAACUACUAGAACAUACUUUCUGCAUGAAGAUGGGGAAAAUAGGUGGAAGGAUGUACUUCGCAUCCUCAACACUUGUUUUCUGGGAAGAAACAAGAAUGUAAAGGUCAUGUACUGACAUUGUGGAGAUCUUCUAAAAUUCAGUGAAAUAAAAGACGAAACUACCAUUAAUUUUACCAUCCAGACUGCACCAAAAUGUUAACAAUACUGUUUUCUCUCCUAUUAAUAAACCUGUACUUAUAUUUUAUAAAAUUGGGAGCAUAUUUCAUACUUUUAUAACUUGUGUUUUUCAUGUAUAUCAUGAACAUUUUCCAAGAUUGUUAAAUACUCUGAAAACAUGAUUUUUAAUAGUAAUAUUAAAUAUUUGUAAUAUUCCUUUUGAUAGUCCACUAUUUAUCCUACAUGAUCUAUAACAUAAGUAUAAAUAAAAACAUUUUACCUUCA